RNAcentral lists this ribosomal RNA (406 nucleotides) under uncultured bacterium. RNAcentral's name for it is "bacterial SSU rRNA". It matches the Rfam family "Bacterial small subunit ribosomal RNA", at positions 355 to 775 of the family's 1533-position model. The record is from RNAcentral.
UGGGGAAUAUUGGACAAUGCCCGAAAGGGUGAUCCAGCGACGCCGCGUGGGUGAUGAAGGCCUUCGGGUCUUAAAACCCUGUCAAGCGGGAAGAAUAUAUGACGGUACCGCUAAAGGAAGCCCCGGCUAACUCCGUGCCAGCAGCCGCGGUAAUACGGAGGGGGCAAGCGUUACCCGGAUUUACUGGGUGUAAAGGGUCCGCAGGCGGUUAAGCAAGUCAGUUUUUAAAUACUCUGGCUCAACCAGAGAAUUGGAACAGAUACUGCUUAACUAUGAGUCUAGAGGGGGAAAACGGAACUGCCGGUGUAGCGGUGAAAUGCGUAGAUAUCGGCAGGAACACCUGUGGCGAAGGCGGUUUUCUACUCUGGUACUGACGCUCAUGGACGAAAGCGUGGGGAGCGAUCGG